Molecule: long non-coding RNA, 543 nt
Filed under: Vombatus ursinus (common wombat)
Lineage: Eukaryota; Metazoa; Chordata; Mammalia; Diprotodontia; Vombatidae
Description: lncRNA (ENSVURG00010000214.1)
Source: RNAcentral
GCCCGCCUCCCUCCCCCCGAGGCGGAGGAAGCUCUUGGGGCCGGGCUCUGGCCCUGGGGGCUAAGCGAUGGGCGGCCCGGGCAAUAUCCCCCUGGCUCCGAAGGCAGUGUUUGACCCAGCCCGGGAGAGUGCAGCCCCAGUGUUUGCUUUGUGUCGUUCUUCAUCCGGAGCCAUCGUGGUCUUGGAAUGCCUCUUGGUGAACUACUUCUGGAAGGAGGAGGGAGGCAUAUUAUGGGGAUUUUGGAGACCUGGGUGUUUAGGUACCAUGACCCCAUGCUGGCUUCUCUUCUGAUUUCAUCAGACUUGAUACCCAUUCCGGUGAUUUGAUUUGGAUCAGAUUAUUGGAUUUACCUAAUAGUCCCUGGAAGGAUAGAUAGGAAUUUAAAAUUGGUGGAUGACCAAUUGAAAUGAAGUAAGUGAAAUUUGGAGACUUGAAAAAUCUGAGGUGUGGCCUUAAAUGAAGAAGACAGCCUUUGCUUAUGAAUAUGAAACAUUGAGUUGGCUGUUCCAGCUGUUAUUAGAAUAAAAUAGUCUUGUUUUACA